UGUGAAGACUUUAAAAGUACUCAAAUCCACGACGACAACCCCUGUAAACGUUCAAAGAGGAGAAAGAAGUCAUAAAAAUAUAAUCAAAUAAAAGAAUACAUUGUCCUUUUCUGAAACGAUCACGUUAUGCCGGGACACGCAACAAUUUUAAGAACGUUGCGUUCUUUUAGAAAUACCUAGCUAAGCAAAGCCUUAAAAGAGAAAAAAAGAAAAGAAAAAAAAGGAAAUCAUAAAUAGUCUAAAUAAAGGAGUAAAAAGUUUGCUAAACG
This is a long non-coding RNA of Melitaea cinxia (Glanville fritillary), 269 nucleotides long. RefSeq lists it as uncharacterized. The transcript is spliced from 3 exons. Lineage: Eukaryota; Metazoa; Arthropoda; Insecta; Lepidoptera; Nymphalidae. The record is from RefSeq and is a predicted model, not a curated record.